This 229-nucleotide unclassified non-coding RNA is filed under the name plant metagenome. RNAcentral describes it as "partial contains small subunit ribosomal RNA, internal transcribed spacer 1, and 5.8S ribosomal RNA". The record is from RNAcentral.
UCUCCGUAGGUGAACCUGCGGAGGGAUCAUUACAGAGUUCAUGCCCUAACGUGUAGAUCUCCCACCCUCUGUUAUCAUCACUUUGUUGCUUUGGCGGGCCGUCAGGCCUCGGCUUGGCUACCGGCUCUCGCUGGUAAGCGCCCGCCAGAGAACCCCAAACCCUGAAUAUCAGUGUCGUCUGAGUACUAUAUAAUAGUUAAAACUUUCAACAACGGAUCUCUUGGUUCUG